CUCUCUCGCUCUCUCGCUCUGUCUCUAGCCUAACCCAAAACCCCAAAUCCCAAAGUGUAUCUUGUCACUGCCUUGUCUCCCUGCCUUGCCGCCGCCGCUACCUCGUCGCUACCUUGCCACCGGUCUCGAAAUUGAAACUCUUUUCUCUGAAAUUAAAGUUGUCCUCUCUCAAAUUGAAACUCUCAGCUCUCAAAUUGCCGCUGGUAUGUUAUACCGUAAAUUUCUGUAAUAGCUUGUUAUAGAAAACUUAUCUCUAUUUCUCACAAAUUGUAACUUCUAGUUAAUUUCUCUUCUUUUUCUCAAUUUGGAACCGUAAUUUAUUCUUUGUUCUUUUCCUCUUUGUUUGCCCAUCACAAGAAUAGACCUUCUCUGUUGAAAAUGUACUAAUUAUGCCUAUGUUUUCUGUUUUUCGUAAUAAUUUGAGGUUAUUGGUGAUUAUCAAUUUAGUGAGAGUUCUAGUUCAAGAUUUUAUACGUUUGUAGAGAGAAUGAGUAUGCCCAGUGUUGAGGUUAAGACCAUACGCUGGUCUUGAUACGAUAUUAGAAAUAGGGGAAACUAGGAUAUUCAGAAGAAAAAGGUGGUUUUGUUCUAUGGAUGUGUAUAUCUCGUAAUUUCAAGUUUGUCUAUUUCUCUAUUCUCCUGACUAACUUGAGUUGUUACUCUUUCCAUCGAUUUCCUUUCUUUUGUAUUGCAUAUUUUGUUCAGUGGACUUGUAUUUUUGUCUUAUUCCAAUGGAUCAUCCAUGCUUGCGUUUCAAUGUGGUACAAUGGUUCUUUUGUACUGGUUUGUUAAGUCUAAUGCAGUAAAAGACAUGAGAUAUGCUAAAGAAGUUAAAAAUGAAUUUCUGAUAAAAACUCUAGAUGAGUUAAUUGUUCUGGGUACUUUCAAUUUUCAGAGUUCCGUCUAUAGAAUGAAGGUCUUUAAAUUUGCUUAAUUGUUGCUGUUGUAAAUAUUCUGAAUGUGUUUAUAUGUUCUUCAGUUAUGUAUGUGUUUGAUCUUCUGUUGUUUAUUUUGAACUCAAAUUCUUACAUUCAUACUUUGUAUUUCAGCUCUAUAAUUUCUAAAUAGUCAAAGGCGUAGAGAUGAGUGAAGUUCCAUCACUGUUCUUUUUGUGCUUGGACUGUAUCAAAAAUGAGAUCCUGUAUGGUGAGUUUUUGCAGAAUUUCGAAUUUGUUGUUUAGUUAAAGGGGAAGUUUUAAUUGUAGGAAUUGAAUUUUGUUUUUAUUUUCUGAAACUUCAGAAAACUCUAAUUUCCUUGUAGUGAGUAUUAAUGUACAAACUUUUUGUGUUUACUUUUUUAGCUUGUCUUAGGAGAGUAGUCUUCACUUUAACAUUUUGAUUGACUGAGAUCAAGUUUUUCCUUUCCCCCUAUUUAAUAACUCAUUAUAUCUUUAGACCAUUGACAAGUUCAGUAAUCUUGCACACUGCCUCUGUUCAGUUAUUUUCCAGCUUCCUAUCCUAGCUUUCCCCAAUCUUUGAGAAAAAAGGGACGAGAAAAGGGAGAGAAAACAAAACCUCUUUGAUAUGUAUGAUCCCUACUAUUAUUGUGCUAGUUUGUGAAUUGAAAUGCUAUGGUUUGUGAGUUUUAUAUUUAUGCAG
This 1599-nucleotide long non-coding RNA is filed under the name Panax ginseng (ginseng). Its description in RNAcentral is "long non-coding RNA (PGIN_LNC011326)". Lineage: Eukaryota; Viridiplantae; Streptophyta; Magnoliopsida; Apiales; Araliaceae. The record is from RNAcentral.